GGGGAAUAUUGGACAAUGGGCGAAAGCCUGAUCCAGCCAUGCCGCGUGAGUGAUGAAGGCCCUAGGGUUGUAAAGCUCUUUUGUGCGGGAAGAUAAUGACGGUACCGCAAGAAUAAGCCCCGGCUAACUUCGUGCCAGCAGCCGCGGUAAUACGAAGGGGGCUAGCGUUGCUCGGAAUCACUGGGCGUAAAGGGUGCGUAGGCGGGUUUCUAAGUCAGAGGUGAAGGCCUGGAGCUCAACUCCAGAACUGCCUUUGAUACUGGAAGUCUUGAGUUCGGGAGAGGUGAGUGGAACUGCGAGUGUAGAGGUGAAAUUCGUAGAUAUUCGCAAGAACACCAGUGGCGAAGGCGGCUCACUGGCCCGAUACUGACGCUGAGGCACGAAAGCGUGGGGAGCAAACA
RNAcentral lists this ribosomal RNA (401 nucleotides) under uncultured bacterium. RNAcentral's name for it is "bacterial SSU rRNA". It matches the Rfam family "Bacterial small subunit ribosomal RNA", at positions 356 to 774 of the family's 1533-position model. The record is from RNAcentral.